Small nucleolar RNA from Cuculus canorus (common cuckoo), 135 nucleotides. RefSeq annotates it as small nucleolar RNA SNORA33. Lineage: Eukaryota; Metazoa; Chordata; Aves; Cuculiformes; Cuculidae. The transcript has a single exon. The record is from RefSeq and is a predicted model, not a curated record.
AUGCCAGUUCAAUGUGUCUGCUCAACUUGAAAAUGUUUUGCAGAGCAUAUUUAAAAAUUACACUGGUAAAGUAAAGCCACAGUACGAGCCUUGGAGACUUUGUUGUCUUUGAGGUCCCAAAAGAUGGCUACACCA